RNAcentral lists this ribosomal RNA (274 nucleotides) under uncultured bacterium. RNAcentral's name for it is "partial 16S ribosomal RNA". It matches the Rfam family "Bacterial small subunit ribosomal RNA", at positions 523 to 796 of the family's 1533-position model. The record is from RNAcentral.
AUACAGAGGGUGCAAACGUUGCUCGGAAUCAUUGGGCGUAAAGCGCGUGUAGGCGGUUUGGAAAGUCGGCCGUGAAAGCCCUCAGCUCAACUGAGGAAGUGCAGUCGAAACUAUCAGACUUGAAUAUCGAAGAGGUUGGCGGAAUGCGCAGUGUAGAGGUGAAAUUCGUAGAUAUUGCGUAGAACACCCGUGGCGAAGGCGGCCAACUGGGAGAAUAUUGACGCUGAGACGCGAAAGCGUGGGGAGCAAACAGGAUUAGAAACCCGAGUAGUCC